RNAcentral lists this ribosomal RNA (677 nucleotides) under Kocuria rosea. RNAcentral describes it as "bacterial SSU rRNA". It matches the Rfam family "Bacterial small subunit ribosomal RNA", at positions 800 to 1471 of the family's 1533-position model. The record is from RNAcentral. Lineage: Bacteria; Bacillati; Actinomycetota; Actinomycetes; Micrococcales; Micrococcaceae.
CCGUAAACGUUGGGCACUAGGUGUGGGGGACAUUCCACGUUCUCCGCGCCGUAGCUAACGCAUUAAGUGCCCCGCUUGGGGGAGUACGGCCGCAAGGUUAAAACUCAAAGGAAUUGACGGGGGCCCGCACAAGCGGCGGAGCAUGCGGAUUAAUUCGAUGCAACGCGAAGAACCUUACCAAGGCUUGACAUUCACCGGACCGCCCCAGAGAUGGGGUUUCCCUUCGGGGUCGGUGGACAGGUGGUGCAUGGUUGUCGUCAGCUCGUGUCGUGAGAUGUUGGGUUAAGUCCCGCAACGAGCGCAACCCUCGUUCUAUGUUGCCAGCACGUGAUGGUGGGGACUCAUAGGAGACUGCCGGGGUCAACUCGGAGGAAGGUGGGGAUGACGUCAAAUCAUCAUGCCCCUUAUGUCUUGGGCUUCACGCAUGCUACAAUGGCCGGUACAAAGGGUUGCGAUACUGUGAGGUGGAGGUAAUCCCAAAAAGCCGGUCUCAGUUCGGAUUGAGGUCUGCAACUCGACCUCAUGAAGUGGGAGUCGAUAGUAAUCGCAGAUCAGCAACGAUGCGGUGAAUACGUUCCCGGGCCUUGUACACACCGCCCGUCAAGUCACGAAAGUUGGUAACACCCGAAGCCGGUGGCCUAACCCCUUUGUGGGAGGAGCCUCGAAUGUGAUUUCCG